Molecule: ribosomal RNA, 253 nt
Filed under: uncultured bacterium
Lineage: Bacteria
Description: partial 16S ribosomal RNA
Rfam family: Bacterial small subunit ribosomal RNA
Source: RNAcentral
UACGGGGGGGGCAAGCGUUGUUCGGAAUUACUGGGCGUAAAGGGCUCGUAGGUGGCCAACUAAGUCAGACGUGAAAUCCCUCAGCUUAACUGGGGAACUGCGUCUGAUACUGGAUGGCUUGAGUUUGGGAGAGGGAUGCGGAAUUCCAGGUGUAGCGGUGAAAUGCGUAGAUAUCUGGAGGAACACCGGUGGCGAAGGCGGCAUCCUGGACCAACACCGACACUGAUGAGCGAAAGCCAGGGGAGCAAACGGG